GGUUGCAAUCAUACCAGCACUAAUGCAUCGGAGCCCAUCAGAACUCCGCAGUUAAGCUUGCUUGGGCGAGAGUAGUACUAGGAUGGGUGACCCCUAGGAAGUCCUCAUGUUGCAAACC
This 118-nucleotide ribosomal RNA is filed under the name Helianthus annuus (common sunflower). Lineage: Eukaryota; Viridiplantae; Streptophyta; Magnoliopsida; Asterales; Asteraceae. The record is from RNAcentral.